CAGACAACAGAGACACCAAUGGAGACGCAUAUCAGAGCAACUACUCAACUAAUAGUCACUGAAGUUAGAAUCAUACAGUAGAUAUUACCAUUAGGAGUCAGUUAGAAAAGUAAUCAUACAGUAGAUAUUACCAUUAGGAGUCCGUUAGAAAAGUAAUCAUACAGUAGAUAUUACCAUUAGGAGUCAGUUAGAAAGGUAAUCAUUAGUAAGUUAAUACUAUAAGUAAAAGUUAAAAUCAUAUAUACUACAAUAAAACGUCAGACAGACUGAAUUAGUUGAUUAAUUGAUUGAUUGGGGUAAUUAUUGAUAUUCGGUACGGUUAGAUAAGAUGACCGACUACGUCAACAAACAGGUGAUUGAAUUAAAUCAUGUUAAUGAAGAAAACCAGAACAGAGCAACGAGGAGCGUGAAGACUGAGAUCCGUCGCUCAGUUACUGGCACAAACUGCAGCUUGAGAAUGAUGGUGACACCCCAGCAAAUCGGAAGGAGGACUGUGUUGAGCUGAACACAGAAAUAUGGCGUCCUGGAAACGCACGGAAUGACCUGUCAUGUUCAGACAAUCAUUACUGAGAAAGUGGUUUAACAACACCAUGACAACAGAGGAGGCUGGUGGGAGGACUGAAAGGAAUUUUAUAAUAUCUGUACAUUACAAUUCUACCGGUGACUGCAAAAGUACAAUGAUUAAUGUUUUGCUUGAGCUUGAGAUUAAGAAUCAGUGAUAGACCUUGCAAGUGCAUGAAAAGGUCACCUGUACAAAGUCAUAUGUUUGUGUGUUGAAACUAUACUUUGGGUAACAGAUAGAUAAAGGGAACCAAAUGUUCCUGUUGUUGCUAUGUUCCAGUCUUACUUUUGCUUGCAAAUGACAGCAAAAAUGGGAAGAGUGAUUGGGAAGCUAACUGCCAAUAACACAAUAAGCUGAACUCUGCCUAGCAGAGACAUCUUUGUAUUACCAACUAUUAAUUAUGAGCUUAUAUGGUAUUAAAGUUAAGGGUGGGGUGAUCCUCAGUAGGGGAUAAAAAGGGAAAACACCAUAUUUUGUGAUGAGUGUGUUACAUGCAAAUUACUGUAAGUGUAUACUCUGGGUUGCAAUCCUUAUUAAACAAACUAACCUCUGAUCAA
Oncorhynchus nerka (sockeye salmon) is the source of this 1119-nucleotide long non-coding RNA. RefSeq lists it as uncharacterized. The transcript has 2 exons. The record is from RefSeq and is a predicted model, not a curated record. Lineage: Eukaryota; Metazoa; Chordata; Actinopteri; Salmoniformes; Salmonidae.